ACUAGUUGCUGACGAUCCCCGAGCCUGUAGCUUCCAAAUGAGAUCUAUAAAACAGAAGAAACAAAGUAAACGGAGUAAGCAUUACAAUGCUUAGUAAGUUUUAAGCAGUGUCAACAGAUAACAAUCAAAUUAUAACAUAGUUGUUCGUAUUUUUAUUUCACUCUUCCUUCGGGCAUACAAUCCCUUUACCGAAUAUGCACAUCUCAUCAUAUAUAAUAGGCAGAUAAAUUCUC
This 233-nucleotide long non-coding RNA is filed under the name Gossypium barbadense (sea-island cotton). RNAcentral's name for it is "long non-coding RNA (GBAR_LNC003258)". The record is from RNAcentral. Lineage: Eukaryota; Viridiplantae; Streptophyta; Magnoliopsida; Malvales; Malvaceae.